RNAcentral lists this ribosomal RNA (460 nucleotides) under uncultured bacterium. Its description in RNAcentral is "partial 16S ribosomal RNA". It matches the Rfam family "Bacterial small subunit ribosomal RNA", at positions 338 to 795 of the family's 1533-position model. The record is from RNAcentral.
CCUACGGGAGGCAGCAGUGAGGAAUAUUGGUCAAUGGGCGCGAGCCUGAACCAGCCAAGUAGCGUGAAGGAUGACUGAUCUAUGGGUUGUAAACUUCUUUUAUAAAGGAAUAAAGUGAGGAACGUGUUCCUUUUUGUAUGUACUUUAUGAAUAAGCAUCGGCUAACUCCGUGCCAGCAGCCGCGGUAAUACGGAGGAUGCGAGCGUUAUCCGGAUUUAUUGGGUUUAAAGGGUGCGUAGAUGGUUUAUUAAGUCAGUUGUGAAAGUUUGUGGCUCAACCAUAAAAUUGCCGUUGAUACUGGUUGACUUGAGUACAUUAGAGGUAGGCGGAAUGCGUGGUGUAGCGGUGAAAUGCAUAGAUAUCACGAAGAACUCCGAUUGUGAAGGCAGUUCACUAAACUACAACUGACACUGAGGCACGAAAGCGUGGGGAUCAAACAGGAUUAGAUACCCUUGUAGUC